UACGUAGGCAGCAAGCGUUGUUCGGAGUUACUAGGCGUAAAGGGUGCGUAGGCGGCCUUAUAAGUAUGGUGUGAAAUCUCCCGGCUUAACUGGGAGGGUGCGCUAUAGACUGUGGGGCUAGAGUGUGGGAGAGGAAAGUGGAAUUCCUGGUGUAGCGGUGAAAUGCGUAGAUAUCAGGAGGAACACCUGUGGCGAAAGCGGCUCACUGGACCAUAACUGACGCUGAUGCACGAAAGCUAGGGGAGCAAACAGG
RNAcentral lists this ribosomal RNA (253 nucleotides) under uncultured bacterium. RNAcentral's name for it is "partial 16S ribosomal RNA". It matches the Rfam family "Bacterial small subunit ribosomal RNA", at positions 524 to 776 of the family's 1533-position model. The record is from RNAcentral.